GAUGAAGAACGUAGCGAAAUGCGAUAAGUAAUGUGAAUUGCAGAAUUCAGUGAAUCAUCGAAUCUUUGAACGCACAUUGCGCCCUCUGGUAUUCCGGGGGGCAUGCCUGUUCGAGCGUCAUUAUAACCACUCAAGCUCUCGCUUGGUAUUGGAGUUCGCGAUCUCGCGGCUCCUAAAAUCAGUGGCGGUGCCUGUCGGCUCUACGCGUAGUAAUACUCCUCGCGAUUGAGUCCGGUAGGUUUACUUGCCAGCAACCCCCAAUUUUUACAGGUUGACCUCGGAUCAGGUAGGGAUAACCGCUGAACUUAAGCAUAUCAAUAAGCGGAGGA
RNAcentral lists this unclassified non-coding RNA (329 nucleotides) under soil metagenome. RNAcentral describes it as "partial contains 5.8S ribosomal RNA, internal transcribed spacer 2, and large subunit ribosomal RNA". The stretch from base 1 to 120 matches the Rfam family "5.8S ribosomal RNA", at positions 35 to 154 of the family's 154-position model. The record is from RNAcentral.